Molecule: ribosomal RNA, 223 nt
Filed under: Klebsiella oxytoca
Lineage: Bacteria; Pseudomonadati; Pseudomonadota; Gammaproteobacteria; Enterobacterales; Enterobacteriaceae
Description: partial 23S ribosomal RNA
Rfam family: Bacterial large subunit ribosomal RNA
Source: RNAcentral
CCUGUACUUGGUGUUACUGCGAAGGGGGGACGGAGAAGGCUAUGUUGGCCGGGCGACGGUUGUCCCGGUUUAAGCAUGUAGGCGGAUGUUCCAGGUAAAUCCGGAACGUUAUUAACGCUGAGGUGUGAUGACGAGGCACUACGGUGCUGAAGUGACAAAUGCCCUGCUUCCAGGAAAAGCCUCUAAGCAUCAGGUAACAUCAAAUCGUACCCCAAACCGACAC